AAGUUUCAGGGAUUCUGUGCAAUGCUACGACGCUACACGAUAACGUUGGGGGUUCGGGCUGGCUUGGGCACCUCAUAUCGGAACGCCAUCGCUAGUACAACAGAGCUGCCGGCACGGAGCAAACCCAGGCGACAUAGAAAGCUUUAUCAGCUGACGAUGCGUGAGGAAUAUGAGGAAGGGAUUCGCGAUUUCCUUCCACCUCGGCCGCUUCUUCCAGUUGGGUGGAGGAUGGAGCACGCAUCUGGAUCAAACCGUUUUGAUUUAUUCAAAAACGUUGAAGUUCGUCAUUGCGGAGCUGAGGAGCUACACGCAAUCACUUUGAUGGAGACGAAGCAGUACGAGGGAACAUAUCGCAUGGACAACGGCGAGCGUGAAGAGCAAGAGUACCUCAACUUUGGCUUGUUUAUGCGCAAAAAAAGGUAUCCAGCAGGGGGACUUGAGUUCAGCCUCACUUCGAUUGACCUGGAGCUCGUGAUGGAUGCACUUACAAUUCAUCCUUCAGAAGAGGCGUUUGAGAGCGCAAAGGCGUGCUACGGCCGCAAUGACGCUGCUGCGGCAAAAAGGGAUAUGUACGGCUCCUCUGGUGAUGCACGCCGUCGGUGCGCUUCCAAAUAUAGAGGCCCAAUGCUCAGUGAGCUUGAUGACGACCUUUCCGACGAAAUUCUCGACUACCUGGAUGAGCGUGGAGUAAACAAUGCCUUUGCCGAGUUUGUCAUGGCUCAAGCCUUCUUUUUUGAGCAGGAGGAGUAUAUCAACUGGCUACGACUCCUGAGGAAGUUCUCUGAUUAGCGAAGCGCUUCUUUCGUUCAUGUGGCCACAGAGCACUCUCUCUUUUCAUCCAUGGCACUUUUGGGUCUUUCGCAUUGCGCUACAAGCGGG
RNAcentral lists this unclassified non-coding RNA (879 nucleotides) under Leishmania donovani. RNAcentral's name for it is "gene:LdHU3.22.1900(CDS-product:Mitochondrial_glyc oprotein_putative)". Lineage: Eukaryota; Euglenozoa; Kinetoplastea; Trypanosomatida; Trypanosomatidae. The record is from RNAcentral.